RNAcentral lists this non-coding RNA (125 nucleotides) under Wohlfahrtiimonas chitiniclastica. RNAcentral describes it as "FMN sequence". It matches the Rfam family "FMN riboswitch aptamer (RFN element)". Rfam says of the family: The RFN element is a highly conserved domain that is found frequently in the 5'-untranslated regions of prokaryotic mRNAs that encode for flavin mononucleotide (FMN) biosynthesis and transport proteins. This element is a metabolite-dependent riboswitch that directly binds FMN in the absence of proteins. In Bacillus subtilis, the riboswitch most likely controls gene expression by causing premature transcription termination within the 5' untranslated region of the ribDEAHT operon and precluding access to the ribosome-binding site of ypaA mRNA. Lineage: Bacteria; Pseudomonadati; Pseudomonadota; Gammaproteobacteria; Cardiobacteriales; Ignatzschineriaceae. RNAcentral also lists the same sequence under 1 other name. The record is from RNAcentral.
AUUGAUCUUUGGGGCAAGGUGAGAAGGUAACUUCAAUUCCUGACCGGCGGUGACAGUCCGCGAGCGCAAGCUGACUUGGUGUAAUUCCAAGACCGACAGUAAAGUCUGGAUGGUAAAAGAUGAAU